GAAUAUUGGUCAAUGGAGGCAACUCUGAACCAGCCAUGCCGCGUGCAGGAAGAAUGCCCUAUGGGUUGUAAACUGCUUUUAUUUAGGAAGAAUCACCACUACGUGUAGUGGGUUGACGGUACUAAACGAAUAAGGACCGGCUAACUCCGUGCCAGCAGCCGCGGUAACACGGAGGGUCCAAGCGUUAUCCGGAAUCAUUGGGUUUAAAGGGUCCGCAGGCGGACUAGUAAGUCAGUGGUGAAAUCUCUCAGCUUAACUGGGAAACUGCCAUUGAUACUGUUAGUCUUGAAUUCGGUCGAAGUGGGCGGAAUGUGUCAUGUAGCGGUGAAAUGCAUAGAUAUGACACAGAACACCGAUAGCGAAGGCAGCUCACUAGGCCUGAAUUGACGCUCAGGGACGAAAGCGUGGGGAGCGAACAGG
RNAcentral lists this ribosomal RNA (420 nucleotides) under uncultured bacterium. RNAcentral's name for it is "bacterial SSU rRNA". It matches the Rfam family "Bacterial small subunit ribosomal RNA", at positions 359 to 776 of the family's 1533-position model. The record is from RNAcentral.